Molecule: ribosomal RNA, 678 nt
Filed under: uncultured Bacillota bacterium
Lineage: Bacteria; Bacillati; Bacillota
Description: bacterial SSU rRNA
Rfam family: Bacterial small subunit ribosomal RNA
Source: RNAcentral
GCACGAGAAAGGGGAGCAAUCCCUGAGUACAGUGGCGUACGGGUGAGUAACACGUGGAUGAUCUACCUUCUAGUGGGGAAUAACCAUGGGAAACCGUGGCUAAUACCGCAUAAGCUCGAGAGAGGAAAGCAGCAAUGCGCUGGAAGAGGAGUCCGCGGCCGAUUAGCUAGUUGGCAGGGUAAAAGCCUACCAAGGCAGAGAUCGGUAGCCGGCCUGAGAGGGCACACGGCCACACUGGCACUGAAACACGGGCCAGACUCCUACGGGAGGCAGCAGUGGGGAAUCUUGCACAAUGGGGGAAACCCUGAUGCAGCGACGCCGCGUGAGCGAUGAAGCCCUUCGGGGUGUAAAGCUCUUUCGGCAGGGAAGAUGAUGACGGUACCUGCAGAAGCAGCUGCGGCUAACUACGUGCCAGCAGCCGCGGUAAUACGUAGGCAGCGAGCGUUGUUCGGAGUUACUGGGCGUAAAGGGUGUGUAGGCGGUUGUUUAAGUUUGGUGUGAAAUCUCCCGGCUCAACUGGAAGGGUGCGCCGAAUACUGAAUGACUUGGAGUGCGGGAGAGGUGAGUGGAAUUCCUGGUGUAGCGGUGAAAUGCGUAGAUAUCAGGAGGAACACCGGUGGUGUAGACGGCUCACUGGACCGUAACUGACGCUGAGACACGAAAGCGUGGGUAGCAAAC